Molecule: non-coding RNA, 384 nt
Organism: Ictalurus punctatus (channel catfish)
Lineage: Eukaryota; Metazoa; Chordata; Actinopteri; Siluriformes; Ictaluridae
Source: the annotation of a RefSeq genome assembly
AUGAGCUGGCCUCUUCUUCUUCUUCUGAUAUCCUCUGUGCCCUAUGUGCAUGGCAUCAGUCUGACCUCAUUUCCUGCUGAGGUUAAACCUCCCGGAGCCUCAGUGAAGUUGUCCUGUCAGAUUUCUGGCUAUGCCCUCACUAGCUAUGGCACAGGUUGGAUCAGACAGCCUCCAGGAAAAGGCUUGGAGUGGAUCUGGAUCAUAUGGGGUGGUGGAAACAUAAACUUUGGAGCUUCGUUUAAAACUCGCUUCAGCAUCUCCAGAGACAUGAGCAACAAUGUGCUUUACAUAGAUAUCAGCAGCCUGGUGCCAGAAGACACGGCUGUUUAUUACUGUGUAAAGUCACACAGCUGUACACCUCACUGGGGACUGAACAAAAAUUAA